This 434-nucleotide ribosomal RNA is filed under the name uncultured Clostridium sp. RNAcentral describes it as "partial 16S ribosomal RNA". It matches the Rfam family "Bacterial small subunit ribosomal RNA", at positions 341 to 792 of the family's 1533-position model. Lineage: Bacteria; Bacillati; Bacillota; Clostridia; Eubacteriales; Clostridiaceae. RNAcentral also lists the same sequence under 1 other name. The record is from RNAcentral.
ACGGAAGGCAGCAGUGGGGAAUAUUGCACAAUGGGGGAAACCCUGAUGCAGCGACGCCGCGUGAGUGAAGAAGUAUUUCGGUAUGUAAAGCUCUAUCAGCAGGGAAGAAAAUGACGGUACCUGACUAAGAAGCCCCGGCUAACUACGUGCCAGCAGCCGCGGUAAUACGUAGGGGGCAAGCGUUAUCCGGAUUUACUGGGUGUAAAGGGAGCGUAGACGGUUCUGCAAGUCUGAUGUGAAAGGCAGGGGCUCAACUCCUGGACUGCAUUGGAAACUGUAGAACUAGAGUGCUGGAGAGGUAAGCGGAAUUCCUAGUGUAGCGGUGAAAUGCGUAGAUAUUAGGAGGAACACCAGUGGCGAAGGCGGCUUACUGGACGGUAACUGACGUUGAGGCUCGAAAGCGUGGGGAGCAAACAGGAUUAGAUACCCUGGUA